CUACGUGCCAGCAGCCGCGGUAAUACGGAGGAUGCAAGCGUUAUCCGGAUUUAUUGGGUUUAAAGGGUGCGUAGGCGGUAUUACAAGUCAGGGGUGAAAUCUUGGUGCUUAACAUUAAAAUUGCCUUUGAAACUGUGGUACUUGAGUGUAAAAGAGGUAGGCGGAAUGUGUUGUGUAGCGGUGAAAUGCAUAGAUAUAACACAGAACCCCGAUUGCGAAGGCAGCUUACUAUCAUACAACUGACGCUGAUGCACGAAAGCGUGGGGAUCAAACAGGAUUAGAUACCCUGGUAGUCCACGCAGUAAACGAUGAUUACUAGCUGUUAGCGAUAUAUUGUUAGUGGCUAAGCGAAAGCGAUAAGUAAUCCACCUGGGGAGUACGUUCGCAAGAAUGAAACUCAAAGGAAUUGACGGGGGCCCGCACAAGCGGAGGAACAUGUGGUUUAAUUCGAUGAUACGCGAGGAACCUUACCCGGGCUUGAA
RNAcentral lists this ribosomal RNA (482 nucleotides) under uncultured bacterium. RNAcentral describes it as "bacterial SSU rRNA". It matches the Rfam family "Bacterial small subunit ribosomal RNA", at positions 501 to 985 of the family's 1533-position model. The record is from RNAcentral.